CUCUCCUGUUCCCAACCCAGUGGAGAUCCACUCCGCCCUGUUGAGGGGAGUGGUUAGAAGUCAGAGGACAUCCUUUCACGGCGGCGGUUAAUAUAACCCUGUAGCGUGGAGGUCAAGGGCGGACGCUUGGACGUAGGGCAGACCUGGGUUCAGAGCCUGACCUCGCUACUCACCAGCUCCGUGACCCUGCAGUGCCACGUUGCUCUGAGCUUGACUCACUUUUACCAUCUGCAAAAUGGAACUCACAGAUAGGAAAACUGAGGCACAAAGAUGCUCGAAGAGCUGCCCAAGGUGGGCAAGCGAGCCCACUGGAGAAUUGGAAUCUGAACCCACGGCUGUCCGGUUCCACAGCUCGUACCCUCUUGGUUCCGCUGUGUUGCUUGAAAUAAAAUUAGAGUGAGCAAGGUCCAGGUGUCAUCAGACCCCUUUCUACAAGUCCAGGCAUCAGCACUCCUUGUACUGAGUUAAAGAGAAAUACUUAUAAGAGGGAAUGUAGAACGAAGAACAUUUUAACAGUGAAAGAACAGGAGGUCGGCUCCAAUGAAGUCACCGUCUCUUUCCCGAAAUACUUGUCUUCCUGAAGACAACGGUACUGUGCAGACAAGAGAUUCUCGGCUAUUCUGAGAGGAGAAUCCAGAGAGAUAAGUAUCUCAGCAGUGGGCACGCACAGCUUGCUUCCUACAAUUUUGAAUUCGUACCAAUGACCGUCAUCCAUUCACCCAAUAUCCACUGAGCAUCAGCCGUAUACCUGUGAUCAAACCAAAGGCCCCUGCUCUCGUGGGUUCCAUGGUGGGGAACAGACUGUAAACAAGUAUGUGAAAUACUCAGCAUAUUCAAUCGUAUGAAGCCCGGGCGCCUAGAGCCCAUGCUCUGCAACAAGAGAAGCCACCGCGAUGAGAAGCCCGCACACCACAACGAAGAGCAGUCCCGGCUC
Molecule: non-coding RNA, 934 nt
Organism: Delphinapterus leucas (beluga whale)
Lineage: Eukaryota; Metazoa; Chordata; Mammalia; Artiodactyla; Monodontidae
Source: RefSeq, a predicted model, not a curated record